RNAcentral lists this long non-coding RNA (803 nucleotides) under Brassica napus (rape). Its description in RNAcentral is "long non-coding RNA (BNAP_LNC010485)". Lineage: Eukaryota; Viridiplantae; Streptophyta; Magnoliopsida; Brassicales; Brassicaceae. The record is from RNAcentral.
UUUUCAAGGGAUAGUGAGUACUCCUUAGGAAAAUAAACAUGAAAUGAACAACAAAAUCGCCACACGGAAAUGUAACAAAGCACCUUGAAACACUCAGAUUUUCAAGAACAAAUACCCAAAAAAAAAAACAAUCGAAUCAUAUCCAAAUCCAGUUAAAGAGCAACCAUUGUAUACAAAGGAGGAGAGACCUCUAUGCCAACUUCACAUGAAGUCUCAAUCGAAGAGAUUAAAAAAAAUAGAAACCAAACGAAGUCACAUUACAUGUCGUUAAGGAAAGUUAUAUGCUAACAAAGUCACAUUACAAAUAAUAGCCAAAUGGGUCUUGUAAUAAGGAGCAAGAACACAAACAAAUGUUAACAAACUCUACAAGAUCUUAAUCAAAGAACAUUGUGCAAGCUUCUUCACCUCUCAGCGCGGCCACUUACGUGUAGUGGAGAUGAUGUGGUACCAUGUGCAAAAAGUUACACAGAAGGUAAAAAAAAAAACAAAGUGUCUGAGCGGAAAUUUGAACCUGUGACCUCUAGUGGGUGAGACUAGCUUAGACAUUUUUUUCCUUUUAUUUUCCCAACAAAAUAAAAAGGAAAAUAACAUUUAAAAUAAAUAUCUGGAAUUUUUAAAAAAGGAAAUUGUUACCGUUUCCGACCGUUGACACUUUUCUUGUAUAUUGGUCUCACUUCACACUCUCUCACUUCUCACAUCUCACUUCACACUCUCUCACUCUCACUCUCACUCACUCCACUCUCUCAGUUUUAUCUAAUCGGAGAAGUUUAUUUAUGUCUCGGACGGAUGUUCAACCAACCGAU